Molecule: ribosomal RNA, 916 nt
Filed under: uncultured bacterium
Lineage: Bacteria
Description: bacterial SSU rRNA
Rfam family: Bacterial small subunit ribosomal RNA
Source: RNAcentral
ACGCUGGCGGCAGGCUUAACACAUGCAAGUCGAACGGUAACAGGAGAAAACUUGCUUUCUUGCUGACGAGUGGCGGACGGGUGAGUAAUGCUUGGGAAUCUGGCUUACGGAGGGGGAUAACGACGGGAAACUGUCGCUAAUACCGCGUAGAGUCGAGAGACGAAAGUGCGGGACCGCAAGGCCGCAUGCCAUAGGAUGAGCCCAAGUGGGAUUAGGUAGUUGGUGGGGUAAUAGCCUACCAAGCCGACGAUCUCUAGCUGGUCUGAGAGGAUGACCAGCCACACCGGGACUGAGACACGGCCCGGACUCCUACGGGAGGCAGCAGUGGGGAAUAUUGCGCAAUGGGGGCAACCCUGACGCAGCCAUGCCGCGUGAAUGAAGAAGGCCUUCGGGUUGUAAAGUUCUUUCGGUAUUGAGGAAGGUUGUUGUGUUAAUAGCACGACAAAUUGACGUUAAAUACAGAAGAAGCACCGGCUAACUCCGUGCCAGCAGCCGCGGUAAUACGGAGGGUGCGAGCGUUAAUCGGAAUAACUGGGCGUAAAGGGCACGCAGGCGGACUUUUAAGUGAGGUGUGAAAUCCCCGGGCUUAACCUGGGAAUUGCAUUUCAGACUGGGAGUCUAGAGUACUUUAGGGAGGGGUAGAAUUCCACGUGUAGCGGUGAAAUGCGUAGAGAUGUGGAGGAAUACCGAAGGCGAAGGCAGCCCCUUGGGAAUGUACUGACGCUCAUGUGCGAAAGCGUGGGGAGCAAACAGGAUUAGAUACCCUGGUAGUCCACGCUGUAAACGCUGUCGAUUUGGGGAUUGGGCUUUAAGCUUGGUGCCCGAAGCUAACGUGAUAAAUCGACCGCCUGGGGAGUACGGCCGCAAGGUUAAAACUCAAAUGAAUUGACGGGGGCCCGCACAAGCGGUGGAGCAU